GCUGUGGAACUCCUACGGGAGGCAGCAGCGGGGAAUAUUGCACAAUGGGCGCAAGCCUGAUGCAGCGACGCCGCGUGAGGGAUGACGGCCUUCGGGUUGUAAACCUCUUUCAGUAGGGAAGAAGCGAAAGUGACGGUACCUGCAGAAGAAGCGCCGGCUAACUACGUGCCAGCAGCCGCGGUAAUACGUAGGGCGCGAGCGUUAUCCGGAAUUAUUGGGCGUAGAGAGCUCGUAGGCGGUUUGUCGCGUCUGCCGUGAAAGUCCGGGGCUUAACCCCGGAUCUGCGGUGGGUACGGGCAGACUAGAGUGCAGUAGGGGAGACUGGAAUUCCUGGUGUAGCGGUGAAAUGCGCAGAUAUCAGGAGGAACACCGAUGGCGAAGGCAGGUCUCUGGGCUGUAACUGACGCUGAGGAGCGAAAGCGUGGGGAGCAAACAGGAUUAGAUACCCCAGUAGUCCUACCACGU
Molecule: ribosomal RNA, 465 nt
Filed under: uncultured bacterium
Lineage: Bacteria
Description: bacterial SSU rRNA
Rfam family: Bacterial small subunit ribosomal RNA
Source: RNAcentral